UAAGGAAUAUUGGUCAAUGGACGCAAGUCUGGACCAGCCAUGCCGCGUGAAGGAUUAAAGGUCCUCUGGAUUGUAAACUUCUUUUAUCUGGGACGAAAAAACGGCGAUUCUUCGUCACUUGACGGUACCAGAUGAAUAAGCACCGGCUAACUCCGUGCCAGCAGCCGCGGUAAUACGGAGGGUNCAAGCGUUAUCCGGAUUCACUGGGUUUAAAGGGUCGUAGGCGGGCAGGUAAGUCAGUGGUGAAAUCCUGGAGCUUAACUCCAGAACUGCCAUUGAUACUAUCUGUCUUGAAUAUUGUGGAGGUAAGCGGAAUAUGUCAUGUAGCGGUGAAAUGCUUAGAUAUGACAUAGAACACCUAUUGCGAAGGCAGCUUACUACGCAUAUAUUGACGCUGAGGCACGAAAGCGUGGGGAUCAAACAGGAUUAGAUACCCUGGUAGUCCGCGCCCUAAAACCGAUGGAUACUCGACAUACGCGAUACACUGUGUGU
This 492-nucleotide ribosomal RNA is filed under the name uncultured bacterium. RNAcentral's name for it is "partial 16S ribosomal RNA". It matches the Rfam family "Bacterial small subunit ribosomal RNA", at positions 355 to 844 of the family's 1533-position model. The record is from RNAcentral.